Molecule: ribosomal RNA, 425 nt
Filed under: uncultured bacterium
Lineage: Bacteria
Description: partial 16S ribosomal RNA
Rfam family: Bacterial small subunit ribosomal RNA
Source: RNAcentral
GUUAGGAAUAUUGGACAAUGGGCGCAAGCCUGAUCCAGCCAUGCCGCGUGAGUGAUGAAGGCCUUCGGGUUGUAAAGCUCUUUAGCCGAUGAUUAUAAUGACUGUAGUCGGAAAAUAAGCCCCGGCUAACUUCGUGCCAGCAGCCGCGGUAAUACGAAGGGGGCGAGCGUUAUUCGGAAUCACUGGGCGUAAAGCGUGCGUAGGCGGCUUUGCAAGUUGGGAGUGAAAGCCCAGGGCUCAACCCUGGAAUUGCUCUCAAAACUGCAAGGCUCGAAUUCGGGAGAGGAUAGCGGAAUUGUCAGUGUAGCAGUGAAAUGCGUAGAUAUUGACAGGAACACCAGUGGCGUAAGCGGCUAUCUGGACCGAUAUUGACGCUGAGGCACGAAAGCGAGGGGAGCAAAUGGGAUUAGAUACCCUAGUAGUCC